Molecule: long non-coding RNA, 608 nt
Filed under: Canis lupus familiaris (dog)
Lineage: Eukaryota; Metazoa; Chordata; Mammalia; Carnivora; Canidae
Description: lncRNA (ENSCAFG00000057835.1)
Source: RNAcentral
AGCCCCGGCCCGCGCGCCGCGUCGUUCCCCGGGAGACCGCGGCCGGCGCUUGGGGGCGGGCCCUCGGCCGCCCGUGCGUCUCUCUGGGAAACAAGCCGUCUUACUCUGAGGAAGCAGGAGUCCGCAAGGACCCGCCGCCUUUGGAACUCGUCGUUGCCGGCCUUCCGUGCGACCGCAGUUCAAGCUGUCCCCGCUGACCGCAAGAAAAAAAAAAAGAGAGAGAGAGAGAGAUCCCGGUAGGCUUUGAUGGGCGGGCCUGACGGCGGGACGCCAGCGGCGCGCGUGACGUCAGCGCGUUGACGUGGCUUCCUAGGCGGGAGGGAGUGCCGCUUGGGAGAGCUGCCGGGCUCCUGAAGGAGGCGUCAGCCAACAUCUAGUGAUCCGUUCCCCUUACCGAUCGCCUUGCCAGGAGCUGUGGAGAAGACGCGCUCGUAGUCAGGCACAAAAAGAUGUCCGCGUUUUCACCACAGCGCAGUUCAGUGUGGUGUUAGAGAAAGAAAUGCGCCAGAAGGAACCCUCAGGAUUCCAGGGGCUGGCACUCAGAUGCUGUACUUCCAACCACUUGUGUGCACCCCCAGGAAGCCUGUGACACAGAUGAAACUAUCCAG